GAUCUCUUUGCCUCAUGGUAUCUGACUGGCUUCUUCCAGUUGAGAGACCUAACAAGAGACAGAGGAAGACAGAAGAAACAAAAUAUUACUCACCCAGUUGCCUCUCCAUAGGUUCACCUUGGGACGUCAAAUAUACAGUGUUGUUCAAGUUUGUACAUGACUCUCUCCUUCUAGUUCUGGAAAAAGCUCUCUCCCUUUUCCCCUUUUGCCCUAGAGAUGAAAAUGGCUCAGCUGUAACUAAUCCUAGAACACUUUACAGGUCCGUUGGUGGUAGGCAGUGAUGAAUAGAAUGUUUGCGUUUUCUCCACCCACACCCCCAGCAUACACCCCAAAUUAAUGUACCUGAAUCCUAACACCAACAUGAUGAGAUCAGGAACCUUUCCCCCAAUCUCCAAAACUGUAAGAAAUAAAUGUUGUCCAAGUCACCCAGUCUAUGGUAUUGUUAAAACAUCUGCCUUGGCUACUCUCCCUUGGAUCACCUGAACUGGAGGACAUGAGCUGCCAUGAUCUAGAACGUGCUGUAAAAAAGCCCUCAUGGCAUGGGAUCAAGGUCUACCCCAAAACAUGGGAGUAAUCCUGGAAGCAAUUCUUCCAUCCCCAGGUCAGAUCUUCCCAGGAGACCACAGCUUUGCUGGUACCUUGACUACAGUCUCAUGAAAGUCCUUCAAUCAGAGCUACCUAGCUCAGCUCUGCCUGAAUUUCUGAACCCUCUUCCAUAUAUAUAUAUAUGAGGUAGUAAAUGUUUUAAGCUAUAAGGCUUUAGGUGAAUUUGUUAUGCAUCCAUAUAUAACUAAUAUACCUGGUGAUUUUCCUCACAUAAUGGCUGUGUGUUUGUAAAUAACCCUGCUGUUUUCUUCUUCAAAUUAUAAUAAUUUGAUUAUGCCAACUUUUCCCUGCUAAGAUCAUAAAUAAAAUAUUUUCAGACAUGUAGGAGAAAUGAAAUACUCUCCUCAGGUUUGUUUCCCCAAAGCAUAAAAAAUAGAUCACAGCUGAAUAUAGACAUUUCCCUCAAUCUUUGAGGACUCAAAUUCCCUUGAAAGAUUUCAGAUUUAUUUAUUAGGGUGGUAACUGGGGAGAUUUGUGUCUUUAAGGAUUUAAAUGAAAGAACAGUAGAAUGAAUUCGACCUACUUUUCCUAUGUACAUAUAUAAAUAUACCACAGUGAAUUUCACCAUCAUGUAUAUCCACAAGACACUAAUUAAAAAAAAAAACUAAGUAAAUAGCAGAAAGAUCAGUAGAAAAGAGAUCGGGGAAGGUAGGAGGGGAGGGAAAGUGGAAGUAUGGGGGACUGAAUUAGAACAAAUUAUAUUCCAUGCUUUUAUAGUUUUGUCAACAUGAAUCCUAACAUAAUGUGUAACUAAAAAGAACCAAUAAAAAUUAGUGACUUCUUAACUUUAAAAUGAGAAAUGGAGGUUACAGUUUCUUCUCCAAGAAUAUCUGGAAGCACUUCAGCACGGCACAUGCAGGGUGACAGACUUUAGAUUAAAAUGGCCAUGGG
Molecule: long non-coding RNA, 1497 nt
Filed under: Marmota monax (woodchuck)
Lineage: Eukaryota; Metazoa; Chordata; Mammalia; Rodentia; Sciuridae
Source: RNAcentral